AGGUCUUGGACUUGACCUUUUCUCUGUCUCUACGGGUCUUGGCCUUGCCUCGGUCUCUAAAGGUCUUGGCCUUGUCUCUGUCUCUGAAGGUCUUAGCCUUGUCUCUGUCUCAGCCUCUAAAGAUCUUGUCCUUGGUGGUCUCUAUAGGUCUUGGUCUUGUCUCAGCCUCUAAAGGUCUUGGCCUUGUCUCCGUCUCAACCUCUAAAGGUAUUAACCUUGACUUGGUCUCGGGCUCUAAGGGUCUAGCCCUUGUUGGUCUCUAUAGGUCUUGACCUUGUCUCGGUCUCUAAAGGCCUCGGCCAUGUCUUGACCCUGUCUUGUUCUCUGGCUCUAAAGGUCUAGCCUUGUUGGUCUCUAAAGGACUUGACCUUGUCUCUGUCUCUAGAGUUCUUGGCCUUGUUCUGGGCUCGGCCUCUCUAGGUCCUGGACUUGCCUCUGUUUUUAUUUUUUCUUCUAAAGGUCCUGGUCUUGGUUUCAGCCUCUAAAAAUCUUGGCCUUGUCUCGGCCUCUGAUGGUCUUGACCUUGUCUUGGUCUCAGGCUCUAAAAGUCUAGCCCUUGUUGGUCUCUAAAGAUCUCCACCUUGUCUUGGUCUCUAAAGGCCUUGGCCUUGCUCUGUCUUGGCCUCUUUAGGUCUUGGUCUUGUCUCUGUUUUUUUCCUUUAAC
Long non-coding RNA from Cyprinodon tularosa, 664 nucleotides. RefSeq lists it as uncharacterized. Lineage: Eukaryota; Metazoa; Chordata; Actinopteri; Cyprinodontiformes; Cyprinodontidae. The record is from RefSeq and is a predicted model, not a curated record. The transcript has 3 exons.